UUUUUUUUUUCUUUUUUGGCCGCCCCAUGGCGUUUGGAGUUCCCAGGCCAGGGAUCAGAUCCAAGCUGUAGCUGUGACCUAAGCUGCAGCUGUGGCAAUUCUGGAUCCUUAACCCACAGUGCUGGGCCAGGGACCAAACUUGCAUCCCAGCACUCCCAAGAUGCCGUCAAUCGCACUGUGCCACAGCAGGAGCUCCAAAUUCCAUAGCUUAGACGCAGUAUAUAAAUUCCCUAAAAGGUAUAAACUAUCAAGUCCCCUUCAAGAAAUACAAAAUAAUAUCCAUACCUAGUAAAGCAACUGAAUUUGUAGUUUAAAAAUACCCCUGGCAUUCCCGUCAUGGCUCAGUGGUUAACGAACCCAACUGGCAUCCAUGAGGAUGUGGGUUCAAUCCCUGGCCUCACUCAGAGGGUUAAGGAUCUGACAUUGCCAUGAGCUGUGGUAUAGGUCACAGACGUGGCUCAGAUCUGGCGUUGCUGUGGCUGUGGCAUAGGCCAGCAGCUACAGCUCCGAUUCGACCCCUAGCCUGGGAAACUCCAUAUGCCGCAAGGGCAGCCCUCAAAAAACAAAACUACUCCUACAAAUAAAACUAUAGGUCCAAAUAGCUACACUAUUAAAGUCUUCUAAGCAUUAAAAAAACAAACAAAGCAAAAGAAAAAAGAGGUGUUCCCUGAUGGCCUAGUGGGUUAAGGAUCUGGUGUCGUCACUGCUGUGGUGUGGGUCUGUGAUCCCUGGCCCGUGAAUUUCUCCGUGCCACAGUGUGACCACAAAAAAAAAGAAAAAAAAAGUUUUUUAAAUAAAAAUAAUUUUAAAACAAAAAAUGAAAACAAACAAAAAAAUUCUACAAAAACUCCAAAUAUUGAAAGGGAGAAAAUAUUUCCUAACACAUUCUAUAAUGUCAGCAUUAUCCUUCCUAACCAGGCCAGCAGACUUAAAAGAAAAUUACAGGCUAUAUAUAUCUCUUAUGUAAACAAAUGUAAUAAUUUCAGUAAAUCAAACCCAAUACUAUAUUAAAAGACAAUAUACUGUGACCUAAUGGGGUUUAUGUCAGGAAUGCAAGGCUGGCUUAACAUUUAAAAAUCCACCAAUGAAGUUUCCACUGUGGCGCAGUGGUAAUGAACCCGACUAGUACCCAUGAGAAUGCAAGUUUGAUUCCUGGUCCCACUCAGUGGGUUAAGGAUCCACAGCCCAUUGCCACGAGCUGCGGUGUAGGUCGCAGACCCUGCUCUGUCCCCAAGUUGCUAUGCCUGUGGCGUAGGCAGGCAGCCAGAGCUCCAAUUUGACCCCUAGCCUGGGAACUUCCAUAUGCCGUAGGUUCGGCCCUAAAAAGACAAAAACAAAACAAACAUCCUUUAUCAUCUCAAUACAUGAAUAAAAAGCAUUUGACAAAAUACAGCAUCCAUUCCUGUCAAACUCUCAGCAAACUAGGAAAAGAAGGGAAUUUCCUCAACUUGAUAAAGAGCACCUAUACCGAACCCAGAGUUAGCAUCGCAUUUAACAGCAAAAGUCUGAAUGCUUUCCUUUAAGAUGAGGAACAAGGCAAUAAUGCCCACUCUCAACAUCUCUAUAUAACACUGCACUGGCAUGCCCAGCCCUGCAAUAAAACAAAGAAAACAAAAAACAAAUGGAAUUUGCAUUUAACUUUUAGAAAGCCAAAAAUCAAACUAUUUUUAUUCACAGAUAUGUGAUCAUCCAUACAAAAGAAUCUAAUAUAAUCAACAAAAAAGCUACUAGAAUUACUGAGUUGAACAAGGUUUUUAGGAUAAAUGAUCAAUAUUGAGAAGUCAGUUGUAUUUUAAUGCACUGGCAACAAGCCAUCAGAAAUGAAAAUUAUAGGAAUUCUCGUCGUGGUCCAGUGGGUAACGAAUCUGACUAGGAACCAUAAGGUUGCGGGUUCGGUCCCUACCCUUGCUCAGUGGGUUAAGGAUCCGGCGUUGCCAUGAGCUGUGGUGUAGGUUGCAGACUCGGCUUGGAUCCUGCGUUGCUGUGGCUGUGGCGUAGACUGGCGGCUACAGCUUCGAUUCUCCUAUUAGACCCCUAGCCUGGGAACCUCCAUAUGCCGCUGGAGCGGCUCAAGAAAAGGCAAAAAGACAAAAAAAAAAAAAAAAAAAUUGAAAAUUAUAAAGCAAAAUACUUUUACAAUAGCAUCAAAAAAUAUAAAAAAUUUAGGGCUAAAUCUGACGAAAGAUGCAUAGGCCUGUAUACCAAAAAUUACAAAAUACUGCCAAGAAACAUUAGAGAUUUAUUUAACUAGAGAGAGAUCCUGUUCAUGGAUCACAAGACCCAAUAAUGUUACGAUGUGAAUUCUCUUCUAAUUAAUCGGGAGAUUCAGGGCAAUCCUAAAUCAAAAUCCCAGCAAGUUUUUGCUUUGGUUUUAUUUUUUUAAGAAAUUGACAAGUUGAUACUAAAAUUCAAAUGGAAAUGCACAGGACCUAGCAUUGCCAAAUCAACUAUACAAAAGAAGAACAAAGCUGCAGGUCUUAAUACCACCUGGCUUGCAGGCUUAGUAUAAAGCUACAGUAAUUAAACAGCAUAAUACUGGAAUCAAGACAGACAAAUAGAUCAGGAACAGAACAAACAUCUAGGAAAAAGCCCACAUAUAUAAAGUCCAUUGAUUUCUGACAAAGGUACAAAGGAAUUUAGCAAAAAAGGACAUUCCUUUCAACAGUGUCAGGUCAACUAGAUAUGGACAAGCAACAAAGUAUGAACAUAAAUCCAUAUCUCACAUCACAUAUAAAAAAUUAACUCAAAAUACUGCUGAGCCACGACAGGAACUCCAAAUAUUUUUUUAAUUUAACAUCAAGAGUGCAAUACAUAACAGAAAAAGUGAGAAACUGGAUUUCAAAAUUAGGAACUUCUACUUCAAAUACAAUGCUAAGAAAAUGAAAGAAAAGACAGACUAGGAGAAAAUUCUUGCGAAUCACAUACCUAACAAAGAACUUGUACCCAAAAUAUAUAAAGAACUCUUAAACUCUCCAACAAUCUCAAACUCUCAAAAAAUCCAAUUAAAGACAUGGUCAAAAAGACCUCAACAAGCACUUCACCAAACAAAUUAUUUGGAUAGCAAACUGCAUACAUGGAAGGAUGCUCAACAUCGUGAGUCAUUGGAAAAAUGAAAAUUAAAGCCACGAUCAUAUCCCAGUGCACACCUGUUAGAAUGGCUAAAAUUAAGAAGACUGACCCUCGCCAGCCUGGGCAAGGACGGGGAACAACUGUGACCCUCACACACUGCUGGUGGGAGGGUGGGAUAGCACACUCCUCUGGAAGAGUUUCGGUUAUGCAAAGGCACAACUACCGCGUGGUCCGCCCAUGGCACUUCUGGAUGUUUAUCCAAGAGAAAGCAAGUCGUAUGUCCACACAAAGAGUACUACAUAGAUGCUCACAGUUAUCUUUAUUUUGAACAGCCAAGGAAUAGAAACAAAGCCCAAAUGCUCAUCAUCCGGUCAAAGGAUUAAAAAAAAGUUAAUAUAGCUAUGCAAUGGAGUGCUAUUCAGCAAUUAAAAAGGAAUGAACUAUCGAUACAGGCAACAACAUGAAUCAAUCUCAAAAUAACUAUCCUGGGAGUUCCCAUUGUGGCGCAGUGGAAACGAAUCCCACUAGUAUCCAUGGGGAUGCGGGUUCAAUCCCUGGCCUUCUUCAGUGGAUCCAGCAUUGCCGUGAACUAUGGUGUAGGUCAAAGACACAGCUGGGAUCCUGCGUUGCUGUGGCUGUGGUGAAGACCCGAAGCUAUAGCUCUGAUUCCACCCCUGGGCUGGGAACUUCCACGUGUCGCAGGUACAGCCCUAAAAAGCAAAAAGAAAAAAAAAAAGAAUGAUCUUGGAUGAAAGAAACCAGACAAAAACAGUACCCACUAUAUGAGUCCACUUGUACGAAAACCUAGAAAAUGCCAAUUAAUCUUUCAGUGACAGAAAGCUAAGGGGUGGUUGCGAGGGUGUGGAGACCGGAGGACAGAAGCACAGGAGGGAAGGCUCCCAGGAACGAAACUCUCGAAUGUGAUGGAUGCACUCCUCACCUUGGCUGUGAUCAUGGUUUCACAGACGCAAACACACAUUAAACAAACUGCACACUUUAAACAUGUACAAUCUGUUGUAUGUCAAUUACACGACAAUAAAGCAUUAUCCUUAAAACAUGUACGUUGCGUAAAAAUGACGAAAGCGAAACAAUUUUUUAAACAACCCCAAACUCUAAGGCUCACAUCCAAGUCCAAACACAACGUGAACUCCUGAAGAAUUACUCUGCCUUUUGAUUUUCCUUCUGAUUUUGGCAGGGGGGUGGGGUUCCUUUUCUUCUACUGUGCUCAGCUGUGGUUCUUUGCAGUAUUUCAUUUUCAAGUGUAUCUCACGCAGCAUUUCUCUGCAUCUGGACCAGGAGGACGGCUCUUCAGCAUGAGGUGGUCUACCACAUUGCUAGAAGCUCUCUGUUCACACCUGUACCCGGGCAUUCUGAGUCCCCUCCCUACAGUCCGCACUUCAACACACCUCACUGUAUGAGUUAUUUUAUAGAAGGAGCGUACAUUCAAACAAUAUUUCAUCUAAUAAGGGUUAUGUGAACAAUCAAAACAGUUCCAAUAGCGUAAGUUAAAAUCUUAUUUAUUAGAUGAAUUAAAUUACAUAUUAAAAUAUUCAUCUUACAGAAAGGUCUCCCUUAAUUAAUCUACAGAAACUGAUAAGAAGCCAGAUAAGAAAUUCAAGCAAGGCUUUAGUCUGGGCUCCUGCUGCAGCUGGAAAGAGGGAAAACAAGUAACAGGUUCCCCUGUUCACUCCCCAAGGAGGGACGAAUCCGUUCUUUUUUCCUUUCUUUUUUUUUUCUUUUUUUUUUUUUUUCUUUUUAGGGCCACACCUGUGGCAUAAUGGAAGUUCCCAGGGUAGGGGUCGAAUCUGAGCCAUAGCUGGAG
RNAcentral lists this long non-coding RNA (4891 nucleotides) under Sus scrofa (pig). RNAcentral's name for it is "lncRNA (ENSSSCG00060012836.1)". Lineage: Eukaryota; Metazoa; Chordata; Mammalia; Artiodactyla; Suidae. The record is from RNAcentral.